CCACACCAAAUAAAAAACUCACCCCACGUGAAUUUGUACUGUAUGUGUUUUGUGUUAUGUAUGUAAAUAUGUAACUAAACGAAGGUUUCGCAAGGAACCGAUGUACUUUUAAACCCCUUUUAUAAAUAAACGUACGGCAAAUUAUAUUGCAGAUAUGAAAAUGUUUGCUCUUAAUUUAAAAUACAACUUUCAACAGUGGAUGUCUAGGCUCGCACAUCGAUGAAGAACGCUGCGAACUGCGAUACGUAAUGCGAAUUGCAGAAUUCAGUGAGUCAUCGAAAUUUUGAACGCAUAUUGCACUUUCGGGUUAGUCCUGGGAGUAUGUCUGUAUCAGUGUCCGUAAACAAAAUUGUUCUAUUAUAUAUUACUUUUUUUUAAAAAGCAGUAUAUACAUGUAACAGAAUUUGAAGUGUCUUGUGUGUUAUACAUACAAGUCCUUUUAAAAGACUUUCCUUCUAUCUUUGUGGAAAACACAAAUAUAAAGGGAUAUAGUAUGAUUUCGUAUUCAUUUAGUGGCAUCUUGUAUAAAGUUGUGACUUUUGAGUUAUGGAUGACUUGCGGUAGUUUUGCUGGUUCUCACGAAUCGGUGAACAAAUAUUGCUUGUUGUGAUGUGAUUCAAAUGGUUAUAAUGGCAUGCGAGUGUGUCCGAAUAUGAUUUGUAUUAUAUUCUGUGUGUUUUUUACUUAUAAAGCAAAGAAUGAAGAAGAAAUUGAAUAAUUUUUUGGGAAAACAAAAAAUAAAUCCAAUUUGGACCUGAUAUCAGACAAGAUUACCCGCUGAAUUUAAG
RNAcentral lists this ribosomal RNA (788 nucleotides) under Apodachlya brachynema. Its description in RNAcentral is "eukaryotic LSU rRNA". The stretch from base 185 to 339 matches the Rfam family "5.8S ribosomal RNA". Lineage: Eukaryota; Oomycota; Saprolegniomycetes; Leptomitales; Leptomitaceae. The record is from RNAcentral.